Molecule: long non-coding RNA, 184 nt
Organism: Alligator sinensis (Chinese alligator)
Lineage: Eukaryota; Metazoa; Chordata; Crocodylia; Alligatoridae
Exons: 3
Source: RefSeq, a predicted model, not a curated record
CAGACCCAGCACUCUGUGUCUAUUCAGCAGCCACAAGACAGAUGCCAGAUGUGCAGCUGCUGCUCCUAAAAGUGCUCCAAGACCAGAGCUCACAGGCAGCCCAGGAACAUGAGAAGCAGCCUACAGUGCUGCCAUUCCCCCUGUUGCAGCCCUUUGCUCAUGUCAAGGACAUUCACACCACUUC